GUCAUAGCUCAGUCAGUAGGGCAUGGGAUGUCUAAUCUCAGGGUCAUGGGUCCGAGCCCCAUGUUGGGCA
This is a non-coding RNA of Podarcis lilfordi (Lilford's wall lizard), 70 nucleotides long. Lineage: Eukaryota; Metazoa; Chordata; Lepidosauria; Squamata; Lacertidae. The record is from the annotation of a GenBank genome assembly.